RNAcentral lists this small nuclear RNA (154 nucleotides) under Podarcis muralis (Common wall lizard). RNAcentral's name for it is "U1 spliceosomal RNA (ENSPMRG00000005536.1)". It matches the Rfam family "U1 spliceosomal RNA". Rfam says of the family: U1 is a small nuclear RNA (snRNA) component of the spliceosome (involved in pre-mRNA splicing). The record is from Rfam by way of RNAcentral. Lineage: Eukaryota; Metazoa; Chordata; Lepidosauria; Squamata; Lacertidae.
AUACUCACAUUGGCGGUGGAAAAUACAUUGUUCAUGAAGGAAGUUUUCCCGGGGUGAGGCUCAUCCAUUGCACUUUGGUGUGCUGGCCCCUGCAGUUUCCUCAGAUGUGGGGAAACUUUGUGGCAGUGGGGGAUUGUGUUUGUGUUUUCCCCUG